ACUAUAAGUCUCCUGAAGGAACGUUGAAGACGACGACGUUGAUAGGCCGGGUGUGUAAGCGCAGCGAUGCGUUGAGCUAACCGGUACUAAUGAACCGUGAGGCUUAACCUUACAACGCCGAAGCUGUU
This 128-nucleotide ribosomal RNA is filed under the name Escherichia coli. RNAcentral's name for it is "partial 23S ribosomal RNA". The stretch from base 1 to 111 matches the Rfam family "Bacterial large subunit ribosomal RNA", at positions 2804 to 2925 of the family's 2925-position model. The record is from RNAcentral. Lineage: Bacteria; Pseudomonadati; Pseudomonadota; Gammaproteobacteria; Enterobacterales; Enterobacteriaceae.